CAAAGCCUUUAACCAGUUUUCACACCUUACUACAGAUAAGAUAACUCAUAUUGGAGAGAAAUCUUACAAGUGUGAAUAAUGUGGUAAAGUCUAUAAAAAAUUGUCACACUUGAUCGUAG
RNAcentral lists this small RNA (119 nucleotides) under Pongo abelii (Sumatran orangutan). Its description in RNAcentral is "processed transcript". The record is from RNAcentral. Lineage: Eukaryota; Metazoa; Chordata; Mammalia; Primates; Hominidae.